CUAUGAAUCAUCAAAUUAAGGUCAUCACUCAAUUGUAUGGUUGCCAUCAUGAGCUGAUUGGCUAUUAUGACAAAAGUGUGUCAGAAAUCAUAUCUCAGUGAUAUUCUUCCUCAGUCAUAACAACCUUCCAUCAUUACCGAACUGAACAAACAAAUAACAUGAUGGGUGCCGUAUUCGGUACAGGAAAUGCUUACCUUUCCGGAGCACCUGAUUUCAUUCCUGGUUCUUAGUGGAGUUUGUGUUGUUUCUUACUUAUUAUUUGUAACUGUUGGUGCAAAUGUCUUUUGAUUUUAUGAGUUUUUGGUUACUCCUUGGUUUUGAUUGUUAUUGUCUUAUACACUAUACCUAAUGGAUGUAUUUACAUGAUAUAGAAUGAAAUUCAAAACAGUGUAGCUGUGGCCAUUGAUUGACACAUUAAAAUCAUCCAUUGACUGGGACAAUUUAGGUGAACGUUUGUAUGUAACGAC
This 467-nucleotide long non-coding RNA is filed under the name Mytilus galloprovincialis (Mediterranean mussel). The record is from RNAcentral. Lineage: Eukaryota; Metazoa; Mollusca; Bivalvia; Mytilida; Mytilidae.